GAUGAACGCUGGCGGCGUGCCUAAUACAUGCAAGUCGAGCGAACAGACGAGGAGCUUGCUCCUCUGAUGUUAGCGGCGGACGGGUGAGUAACACGUGGAUAACCUACCUAUAAGACUGGGAUAACUUCGGGAAACCGGAGCUAAUACCGGAUAACAUGUUGAACCGCAUGGUUCAACAGUGAAAGACGGUCUUGCUGUCACUUAUAGAUGGAUCCGCGCCGCAUUAGCUAGUUGGUAAGGUAACGGCUUACCAAGGCAACGAUGCGUAGCCGACCUGAGAGGGUGAUCGGCCACACUGGAACUGAGACACGGUCCAGACUCCUACGGGAGGCAGCAGUAGGGAAUCUUCCGCAAAGGGCGAAAGUCUGACGGAGCAACGCCGCGUGAGUGAAGAAGGUCUUCGGAUCGUAAAACUCUGUUAUUAGGGAAGAACAAAUGUGUAAGUAACUAUGCACGUCUUGACGGUACCUAACCAGAAAGCCACGGCUAACUACGUG
Molecule: ribosomal RNA, 497 nt
Filed under: uncultured bacterium
Lineage: Bacteria
Description: partial 16S ribosomal RNA
Rfam family: Bacterial small subunit ribosomal RNA
Source: RNAcentral